RNAcentral lists this ribosomal RNA (1383 nucleotides) under Triticum aestivum (bread wheat). RNAcentral's name for it is "partial small subunit ribosomal RNA". The record is from RNAcentral. Lineage: Eukaryota; Viridiplantae; Streptophyta; Magnoliopsida; Poales; Poaceae.
AUGGUAGUCCCAGAUCUCAAUUUCACUCCACCUGAAGAAGGCAACGAAGAACCUGAAGAAGAAAGCAACAAUGCUGGUCAAAAUUCAGGAGUACAAAGGCAAAGGAAUUGGCUCACUGAUGCGCAGAGAUAUGCCGCUUACAUGUCCUUGGAAACCCUCCAUAAGAGUAGAGGAGGCAAGUUCAAGAGAACUGAUAAGAAGGACGUGGCUGCAAUAUUUGGAGCACAUGUUCGAGUUAUUCAAAGAAUAUGGGAGACGGCAAUGAAACAGAAAGGCCUUGGUCAGGAGGUGGAUGUUUCAAACAAAAGAAAGGAAAAUUUUGGAAGAAAAUCUUAUGAUGAUAUCCUAUCUCUCAUUCCGACAAUUCCCUUAAACAAGAGGUCAACUAUUCGAUCUCUAGCCAAGGCACUAGGUGUAAGCCCUACUACACUAUACAAGAAGUUCAAGUUGAAUAAGAUAAGGAGACACUCCAACAGGGUAAAGCCGGUACUGACAGAGAAAAAUAAGAGAGAUAGGGUGGAUUUUUGCCUCUCUAUGAUAGAUGAGGCAACAUUAGGAGAUGUAAGCCCAAGUUUCAGGAGUAUGCAUAAUAUUGUUCACAUUGACGAAAAAUGGUUCUCCAUGACCAAGAGAAAGAGGAACUACUAUCUGCUGCCUGACGAAGAGGACCCGGAAAGACCUGUCAAAAACUCGAUUGGAAAAGUGAUGUUUCUCACAGCGGUAGCAAGACCACGGUUUGAUGAAGAUGGGAGCAUGACAUUCUCUGGAAAAAUUGGGGUAUGGCCAUUCGUGAGAGUGACUGCAGCAGCAAAAAAAAGCAAGAACAGGGAAAAAGGGACAUUGGAAACAAAGCCUGUCAUAGUGACGAGGGAUGUGAUGAGAGAGUACAUUAUACAGAAGGUUGUGCCAGCGAUUCAAGCAUUGUGGCCUGCAGAUGAUGAUGGACAACCCAUUUUUAUCCAGCAAGAUAACGCGAGAACACAUAUCCUACCUAAUGAUCAAGCAUUCGCAGAAUCUGUGGACGAAAGUGGCCUGGACAUCAGAAUAAUGUAUCAGCCUCCAAAUUCUCCGGACAUGAACGCCCUGGACCUUGGGUUCUUCAGCUCGAUUCAGUCGCUAACAGACUGCAAAAGUCCGAAAACUAUUCCAGAGCUGAUUAAAGGUGUUCAAGAGGAGUUCGAUGGAUAUGAAGUUUCAAAACUUAACAGAGUAUUCAUAACUCUGCAGACUUGCAUGGUUGAAGUAAUGAAGAAUGGUGGAGCCAAUAAAUACAAAAUCCCGCACAUGAACAAGGAUAGGCUAGAAAGGCUACAACUGCUACCGCCCAGGAUCUCAGUUCCUCCCGAAGUGUAUGCAAUGGCACUAGAGAUGCUUGGACGCUGA